GAUGAACGCUAGCGGCAGGCUUAAUACAUGCAAGUCAAGGGGGUAGCAAUACAACCGGCGCACGGGUGAGUAACGCGUACACAACAUACCAUAUACUGGAGUAUAGCUUCGGGAAACUGAAGGUAAUCCUCCAUAACAUUGCGAGAAGGCAUCUAAUUGCAAUUAAAGUUUCGACGGUAUAUGAUUGGUGUGCGUUUGAUUAGCUAGUUGGUAGGGUAACGGCCUACCAAGGCGACGAUCAAUAGCUGGCGUGAGAGCGCGACCAGCCACACUGGAACUGAGACACGGUCCAGACUCCUACGGGAGGCAGCAGUAGGGAAUA
RNAcentral lists this ribosomal RNA (322 nucleotides) under uncultured bacterium. RNAcentral's name for it is "bacterial SSU rRNA". It matches the Rfam family "Bacterial small subunit ribosomal RNA", at positions 28 to 363 of the family's 1533-position model. The record is from RNAcentral.